RNAcentral lists this non-coding RNA (103 nucleotides) under Desulfitobacterium metallireducens. RNAcentral describes it as "TPP sequence". It matches the Rfam family "TPP riboswitch aptamer (THI element)". Rfam says of the family: Vitamin B(1) in its active form thiamin pyrophosphate (TPP) is an essential coenzyme that is synthesised by coupling of pyrimidine and thiazole moieties in bacteria. The previously detected thiamin-regulatory element, thi box was extended, resulting in a new, highly conserved RNA secondary structure, the THI element, which is widely distributed in eubacteria and also occurs in some archaea. Analysis of operon structures identified a large number of new candidate thiamin-regulated genes, mostly transporters, in various prokaryotic organisms. The record is from RNAcentral. RNAcentral also lists the same sequence under 1 other name. Lineage: Bacteria; Bacillati; Bacillota; Clostridia; Eubacteriales; Desulfitobacteriaceae.
GAAUAGUGCAGGGGGUGCUCCGUCGGGAGCUGAGAAAGAAUCAUCUUAACCCUUAGAACCUGAUCUGGUUAACACCAGCGUAGGGAUGCUGAAGACUGUCCGC